RNAcentral lists this transfer RNA (76 nucleotides) under Pelagibacteraceae bacterium TMED287. RNAcentral's name for it is "tRNA-Thr". It matches the Rfam family "tRNA". Rfam says of the family: Transfer RNA (tRNA) molecules are approximately 80 nucleotides in length. Lineage: Bacteria; Pseudomonadati; Pseudomonadota; Alphaproteobacteria; Candidatus Pelagibacterales; Candidatus Pelagibacteraceae. The record is from RNAcentral. RNAcentral also lists the same sequence under 1 other name.
GCCCGAAUAGCUCAAUUGGUAGAGCAGCGGUUUUGUAAACCGAAGGUUGCGGGUUCAAUUCCUGCUUUGGGCACCA